CGUGCGGUGCGGCCCGGACGCGGCCCCGGCCCCUGCGACAGCCGCUGCCCCGGCGCCCUCUGCUGGGGACCCGCGUCGUCUCUCCACCCGUCCCACACACACGACCCCGCCGCCCCACUUGGGCGUCCGCCUACGAGCUGGGCUGAGGCGGGGUGCAGGGUGCUGGACGGGGCGACUUUCUGGAUUUGAGAGGAUUGAAGGCAAGGAAACGACACAAAUAAAGGCGUGAAGACCCCAGUUAGGGACGAAUCACCGCCCCUCACCCCGCCCACACCUGCUCUCCGGCACGGGAAAGCCCGGGAGUUGGGGCCGGAGAGCCGAGGGAAGGAAAUACACGUCUUGGCAACUGUUGGAUGGGUUUGGCUUGAACAGGAAUUGUCCUUCCUUCAGUCAACUCAAUGACUCAGCAGCACAAACAGAUAUAUCCCUCUUCAGAUUCCAGUUUGCUACACAGAAGGCAGGUUUCCAGAAGAAGCUCUAGUUAAUGACAAGGGGCUGGGCAAUUUCAUGGAUUAUGGGAACUAAGCCUACCAUGAAGAAACAUACCCUCAUCAGUGAAGAAGAGGGAGGUGUGCUUAAGAAGGCACUUACUGCUUGCUUUGGCAAGAAAACCAACUCAGAGGCCUUAACUGCAGGGAGGCCAAUCAAAAUCCCUACUGCAACCAAACUUGUGACUCAGGUAUGCUUAGAAAGCUCCUUCUCAUUCCUGCCUGAAUUUCCUUGGACUCCUAGUCCACUUCACUGAGUGUUCUGGAAGAGACUGCUUGAGGGCAGCAUGCAUCAUGCUGCCAGAAGAGCUAUUGUAAGAACUCCCAGACAUGAACAACAAAGCAUCUCCUCAUGGUACCAGCAAGUCAUCCCUUUGAUCUCCAGUACUGCCAAACCUCUUUAAAAUGAAAAGACCACAAGUGUACCAGAAGGGAUUACAAAUCCUGCUUCUACAAAAAAUGAAGAGUAAAAUUAAAUACCAACCAUUACUACAGUUUCUUAAAUAUGCUGCAAUGUAAGAAUGAAGACCUUGGAUUAGGGCCUAGAGAAGUGAUUCAGCAAGUCCCUUACAUAGUUGAACCAUCACUUACAUAAGAGAUUUUGAUUUUCAAAAGUUUGGUAUUUUUGAACAAUAUCUGAAAGGAUGGUAUUUAUGAAGCUGCUCUUUUUGCGUGUAGUAGUCUGUUGUUCUGGUAAGAAAGACAUAAGCCGGAAAACAAUACUAUUUUAAUUAAAGCUGGUGUGUAUGAGGAGAAAUACAGAAUGGCAAUCUGCAUACCACUGACAAGGGAACAACACAAGAGGUGAGAAAAGACAAAGUGAGUCACUGGUGUUGAAAAGAGAUUGACACACAAGACUGAACAAAUACAAUGGAUUUAGUGAAUGCUAAAGUAGUUUCUUUUAAGCUUUCCUCUUUUAGUUUGAUCUACGUCACUCUGACUUUCCUUAAAGCUGUGUGGGAGAGAAGGAAUGAAAUUUUGAAAAAAAAAAAAACCUUAAAAAAACUAAAAACAACCCACUCAAGAAAUGUGUAAAGAAAAAUUCUGAAGGUAAAUUUUCUUUUUUUAAUUUUUCUUUUUUUUUCUUCCCUAAUGAAGACUCUUGCACGAAGGUAAAAUUUUUAUGAGGACUCUUUCUUGUGUAACAAAUAUCCAGGCAGCUCCUCUAUGGAGAGAAUUAAGUUCCCCUUCUAGUGACAGAGUACCAGCUAACAAUAUGAAAACUUGAUUUAUAAUUCAACAAGUAUUUUAUUUGCCUUUCCUGCCUGGGAUGUAAAUUUAAGAGAAAUAAUGAAGAUGCUGUUUAGAGAAUAUACACUCCAAUGAUUAUUGAUCUAUUGUAUCAUAUUCACUUCUGAACUGAAAAUUAAAGAAAAGAUUGGGGAUUAUUUUAUGUAGUCCACCAAAAAUGGAAAGAAUGAAAAAAAGGGACUCAAUGAAAGUCUAGCCAUCUACUUUUAACAGCCCUAUGGCAUUCACCACUUAGAAUAAAAGAGUUGACAUAAAUCCUUAGAGGGCUAAUUAAAGAUUA
Non-coding RNA from Microcebus murinus (gray mouse lemur), 2019 nucleotides. The record is from RefSeq and is a predicted model, not a curated record. NCBI's taxonomy places the organism in Eukaryota, Metazoa, Chordata, Mammalia, Primates, Cheirogaleidae.